GGGGAAAAGUAGACCUCUGUUUUACAAGUUUACGUUUGAGGAUGAGUCCGCGGCCCAUCAGCUAGUUGGCGGGGUAAUGGGCCCCACCAAGGCUACGACGGGUAGCUGGUCUGAGAGGACGAUCAGCCACACUGGAACUGAGACACGGUCCAGACUCCUACGGGAGGCAGCAGUGGGGAAUUUUCCACAAUGGGCGAAAGCCUGAUGGAGCAACGCCGCGUGUGUGAUGAAGGUCUUCGGAUCGUAAAGCACUUUCGACCGGGACGAAAAACCUACUGGCUAACAUCCAGGGGCCUGACGGUACCGGGAGAAGAAGCACCGGCUAACUCUGUGCCAGCAGCCGCGGUAAUACAGAGGGUGCAAGCGUUGUUCGGAAUUAUUGGGCGUAAAGCGCGUGUAGCGGCUUGGCAAGUCAGAUGUGAAAGCCCAUGGCUUAACCAUGGAAGUGGCGUCUGAAACUGCUGAGCUUGAGUGCCGGAGAGGAUGGCGGAAUUCCGCAAGUAGAGGUGAAA
RNAcentral lists this ribosomal RNA (512 nucleotides) under uncultured bacterium. Its description in RNAcentral is "bacterial SSU rRNA". It matches the Rfam family "Bacterial small subunit ribosomal RNA", at positions 198 to 686 of the family's 1533-position model. The record is from RNAcentral.